GAUAAACGCUGGCGGCGUGCCUAACACAUGCAAGUCGAACGAUCCCGCAAGGGAGAGUGGCGGAAGGGUGAGUAACACGUGGGAAUCUACCUCCUCGCAGGGAACAACCUCUCGAAAGAGAGGCUAAUACCCAAAAGGGUCAGUAAUGAUCAGAGUCGAAAGGCGUGAGGAGAGGAGCCCGCGGCCCAUCAGCUAGUUGGUGAGGUAAUGGCUUACCAAGGCUACGACCGGGUAGGGGAUCUGAGAGGAUGUCCCCCACACUGGAACUGAAACACGGUCCAGACGCCUACGGGUGGCAGCAGUGAGGAAUAUUGGACAAUGGGCGAAAGCCCGAUCCAGCAACGCCGCGUGGAGGAUGAAGGCCUUCGGGUCGUAAACUUCUUUAGAGGGAGACGAGAAAGGACGGUAUCCCUAGAAUAAGCGACGGCAAACUACGUG
Molecule: ribosomal RNA, 438 nt
Filed under: uncultured bacterium
Lineage: Bacteria
Description: bacterial SSU rRNA
Rfam family: Bacterial small subunit ribosomal RNA
Source: RNAcentral